UACGAAGGGUGCAAGCGUUACUCGGAAUUACUGGGCGUAAAGCGUGCGUAGGUGGUUUGUUAAGUCUGAUGUGAAAGCCCUGGGCUCAACCUGGGAAUUGCAUUGGAUACUGGCAGGCUAGAGUGCGGUAGAGGAUGGCGGAAUUCCCGGUGUAGCAGUGAAAUGCGUAGAGAUCGGGAGGAACAUCUGUGGCGAAGGCGGCCAUCUGGACCAGCACUGACACUGACGCUCAGGCACGAAAGCGUGGGGAGCAAACAGG
Molecule: ribosomal RNA, 259 nt
Filed under: uncultured bacterium
Lineage: Bacteria
Description: partial 16S ribosomal RNA
Rfam family: Bacterial small subunit ribosomal RNA
Source: RNAcentral